Molecule: small nucleolar RNA, 69 nt
Organism: Pteronotus mesoamericanus
Lineage: Eukaryota; Metazoa; Chordata; Mammalia; Chiroptera; Mormoopidae
Product: small nucleolar RNA SNORD2
Exons: 1
Source: RefSeq, a predicted model, not a curated record
AACUGAUAUUAUGACAACCAUCUUUCAGAACCGACCUGAAAUGAAGAGAAUGCUCAUUGAUGAUCACUU